GGAUGCGAUCAUACCAGCACUAAAGCACCGGAUCCCAUCAGAACUCCGAAGUUAAGCGUGCUUGGGUGAGAGUAGUACUAGGAUGGGUGACCUCCUGGGAAGUCCUUGUGUUGCAUUCC
RNAcentral lists this ribosomal RNA (119 nucleotides) under Triticum aestivum (bread wheat). RNAcentral also lists the same sequence under 1 other name. Lineage: Eukaryota; Viridiplantae; Streptophyta; Magnoliopsida; Poales; Poaceae. The record is from RNAcentral.